UCCGUUUAAUUUUGCAAACAA
RNAcentral lists this non-coding RNA (21 nucleotides) under Caenorhabditis elegans. The record is from RNAcentral. Lineage: Eukaryota; Metazoa; Nematoda; Chromadorea; Rhabditida; Rhabditidae.